This 497-nucleotide ribosomal RNA is filed under the name uncultured bacterium. RNAcentral describes it as "partial 16S ribosomal RNA". It matches the Rfam family "Bacterial small subunit ribosomal RNA", at positions 28 to 507 of the family's 1533-position model. The record is from RNAcentral.
GAUGAACGCUGGCGGCGUGCCUAAUACAUGCAAGUCGAGCGAACAGAUGAGGAGCUUGCUCCUCUGAUGUUAGCGGCGGACGGGUGAGUAACACGUGGAUAACCUACCUAUAAGACUGGGAUAACUUCGGGAAACCGGAGCUAAUGCCGGAUAAUAUAUUGAACCGCAUGGUUCAAUAGUGAAAGACGGUUUUGCUGUCACUUAUAGAUGGAUCCGCGCCGCAUUAGCUAGUUGAUAAGGUAACGGCUUACCAAGGCAACGAUGCGUAGCCGACCUGAGAGGGUGAUCGGCCACACUGGAACUGAGACACGGUCCAGACUCCUACGGGAGGCAGCAGUAGGGAAUCUUCCGCAAUGGGCGAAAGCCUGACGGAGCAACGCCGCGUGAGUGAUGAAGGUCUUCGGAUCGUAAAACUCUGUUAUUAGGGAAGAACAAAUGUGUAAGUAACUAUGCACGUCUUGACGGUACCUAAUCAGAAAGCCACGGCUAACUACGUG